GCAAUUAUUACGACGCUCGUAGUGCCAUCCCCAGCUUCGGUAUCCUGAGCCCUGGACAAUUCUACCAACUGAAGGAGGAAAAAAAAAUUCAAAUCAUUGCUCAUGCUGUGUCUUUCACCAACAGAAAGGUGGACGAAAAAUCUUUUACUACAACUGAGCAGAAAUGUCCCGUAUUCAAUUUGUCGGAAACUAGCCGAUGUGAAGUGAACUGGGCAAAUUUACACAUAUAAUCAGCAAUAAUGAUUUUUACGUCUGUAGAAAUUGUUAAUUACUCGUUGAAAAGCGUAUCUGGGUAGCUUGUUGCGUUCCAUACAUGGAGUGUGACUUGACUGUAUAUCGACGACGAAUCAGGGAAUCAAAUCAGGUUUCACUAUUGCUAUCAUCAAAGUAUGGAGGAUCGAAAUGCCCCAAGAAGGAAAUUGAAAGAUCCGGCUGCGCCACAGCUGAUUCCGGAUGCGGGGGGCAAACAAGAGCGAGUCUUCAGCCAGUGAAUGUGAGCAAUGCCUGC
Molecule: long non-coding RNA, 508 nt
Organism: Neodiprion fabricii
Lineage: Eukaryota; Metazoa; Arthropoda; Insecta; Hymenoptera; Diprionidae
Exons: 3
Source: RefSeq, a predicted model, not a curated record